RNAcentral lists this non-coding RNA (45 nucleotides) under Schistosoma margrebowiei. Lineage: Eukaryota; Metazoa; Platyhelminthes; Trematoda; Strigeidida; Schistosomatidae. The record is from RNAcentral.
AUUCAGCUGAUGAGUCCCAAACAGGACGAAACGCGGGUGCUAAGU